AUAAAUGUAAAUUAUUCCACUUUUAUACCAUUCGAAAUUGACAAAAGUAUGACGGGAUGAGGAGAUCGAGGGAAAUCCGUGAGUCGGUUUUGGUUGGAUUCCAUGGAGAGUCCAUUUACGGGCCCACGGAGGGACCGUUGUCUCUUAUCCCGUGACUUCCGUUUUACACCUGCUUUUCCAAAUCUUGAUUAAAUUAUAAUGAAUAAAAAAACUUUUAGUCAAGUUCUAUUAUGAAAAACAUAAUGAUAGAUUUAUUACAUUAAAAAAACAAAGAACUUACAAAUACCGCUUUCUUAUUUGGUAAUUGGGUAAUUUGUACCAUAUAUCGUUAACCUUGGUUUUAGAUGUACAUUCACUAACUUAGAUAUUGAGCGAAGAUACAUAAUUUUGUAAUUUGUAGUUUCAUUGCAAUAUGAUAAAAUAUAGAAAAAGUUGUUCAUACAUAUCAAUGUGUCCCUUGAUAUCUUUAGUGCUAUUGUUUGUAGGUACAAAGUACGGGUUGCCUCGGGACAACAUGUUUCUUAAACAUAACAUAUGGAAACUCUAUCAUCCAGGCUAACUUGGCGCAAGACAACCUAACCCUGGCCACUGACUCUGUCGUUGGCUACCCUUUCAGUUGCAUUCAGAAAACAACCGGCAGUUCUUUACCACCACAAGGUGUUUUAGGCCUUGGUCGUGGUCCAUUGUCAUUUGUAUCCCAAUCUAAGACACUUUACCAAUCCACAUUCUCAUAUUGUCUGCCUAGUUUCAAAUCUUCAAAUUUUUCGGGGACACUAAGAUUAGGUAAAAAUGGACAACCCAUUAACAUUAAAUACACACCGUUGCUUGUAAACCCUAGAAGAACAUCGCUUUACUAUGUGAACUUGGUCGGAAUUAAAGUUGGCUCGAAGGUUGUCAACAUCCCCCCAAGUGCAUUAGCUUUCAACCCAAAUACCGGUGGUGGCACCAUCAUCGAUUCAGGUAAUUCUUGAGAAUAUUUAAACAAUUUUGUUUCAUAUAAAUAUCGACAUCAUGAUAUGGUUAUCAUGACAUCAUCGUCACAUUAUAUGUGAGUUUUCAAGCAACUUAUAUCGUCAGUUUAUUGAGAAAACAUCUAAACAUUCAUAAAUUAUUGUUAUUAAACUACACUAAUAAAAAAAUUCAUACAAGGCACUUGAGAGUGUACAAUUAUAGUAAAAUAUUGUACUUUAUAAAGCUACAAUAAUAGUAAGUUUUAAUUAAGUAGAUUUUUAAAAGUAUAAUACAAUAAUAAGAAAAACUUAAAAAGUAUAAUGUUGUAUUGGAAAGAUAUUUGAAUUAUAUGAAUCCAAUAAGAAAAAAAAAAUCAAAAUACAGUUUUAUAAGAGACAAAGAAAUCAAAAUAUAAUCUUAUUAAUUAUUCCCUAUUAUAAUAUAUUUCAUAAAAGCAUCUGUCAAUAUAAAGGUUGCUUUUAUUUGUGUAGGCACGGUGUUCACUAGGCUGGUGGACGGAGCCUACACGGCGGUGAGAGAUGAGUUCAGAAGGCGGAUGGGAAAAGCCGUCGUAUCGACACUAGGCGGCUUCGACACUUGCUACACUGUCCCAAUCGGAAAACAAGUCCCGACAAUGACCUUCAUGUUCCCCGGACUCAACAUGUCGCUGCCACAAGACAACUUCCUCAUCCACAGCUCCUCCGGCUCCACCACCUGCCUCGCCAUGUCUUCCUCGCCGGCGCUCAAUGUCAUCGCCAAUAUGCAGCAGCAGAACCACCGCGUUUUGU
This 1739-nucleotide long non-coding RNA is filed under the name Lactuca sativa (garden lettuce). RNAcentral's name for it is "long non-coding RNA (LSAT_LNC007123)". Lineage: Eukaryota; Viridiplantae; Streptophyta; Magnoliopsida; Asterales; Asteraceae. The record is from RNAcentral.